This 452-nucleotide ribosomal RNA is filed under the name uncultured bacterium. RNAcentral describes it as "bacterial SSU rRNA". It matches the Rfam family "Bacterial small subunit ribosomal RNA", at positions 355 to 799 of the family's 1533-position model. The record is from RNAcentral.
UGGGGAAUAUUGGACAAUGGGCGAAAGCCUGAUCCAGCCAUGCCGCGUGUGUGAAGAAGGUCUUCGGAUUGUAAAGCACUUUAAGUUGGGAGGAAGGGUUGUAGAUUAAUACUCUGCAAUUUUGACGUUACCGACAGAAUAAGCACCGGCUAACUCUGUGCCAGCAGCCGCGGUAAUACAGAGGGUGCAAGCGUUAAUCGGAAUUACUGGGCGUAAAGCGCGCGUAGGUGGUUAGUUAAGUUGGAUGUGAAAUCCCCGGGCUCAACCUGGGAACUGCAUUCAAAACUGACUGACUAGAGUAUGGUAGAGGGUGGUGGAAUUUCCUGUGUAGCGGUGAAAUGCGUAGAUAUAGGAAGGAACACCAGUGGCGAAGGCGACCACCUGGACUGAUACUGACACUGAGGUGCGAAAGCGUGGGGAGCAAACAGGAUUAGAUACCCACGUAGUCCCUG